Molecule: long non-coding RNA, 474 nt
Organism: Serinus canaria (Common canary)
Lineage: Eukaryota; Metazoa; Chordata; Aves; Passeriformes; Fringillidae
Source: Ensembl
AGAGAAAAUGCUAGAAAAAUGCAGAGGCCAGUAUUGGGGAAGACCAGUUACAUUACAGAGCUGCUCCUGGGAAGUCAGCCAGAGUAUCUCUGUAGGAGUCUUCGUCUUUCCCUCUGACUGUAAAACGGUGCUAGAGCCUCACACAGCAUCCAGUUAAUGAGCUUAACCAGUGGUAAGGGGAGCAUCAACUCAGACAUGAUUGGAUACCAGCAAAUCAGUUCCCCAGACUGUGCCAGAAUGGAAGAUACUGGUUGGAGAUUCAGACAUUUCCAUCUCCUUUACGGACCACAGCUCUUCUUCCUUAAAAAAGGAUCCUGCUCACUUCCAUUCAAGUUCAAGGGUUGAAGAACAUGAAUGAGAAAACUGGCCCACAGAGAGAUCCUGGUGAUGAGCGUCCAGCAGUCACCUGGAUUGCAGCAAAAGUGUCAAGAACUUAAUAGCUACACACAGACAGAUUUGAGGUUCUUGUCUAAA